UGGUGGAGCGAUUUGUCUGGUUAAUUCCGAUAACGAACGAGACUCUAGCCUAUUAACUAGUUCGCCGGUCGCUGUUCUCACACAGCCGGCGCAACUUCUUAGAGGGACGAGUGGCGUUUAGCUACACGAGAUUGAGCAAUAACA
Molecule: ribosomal RNA, 144 nt
Filed under: uncultured eukaryote
Lineage: Eukaryota
Description: partial 18S ribosomal RNA
Rfam family: Eukaryotic small subunit ribosomal RNA
Source: RNAcentral